RNAcentral lists this ribosomal RNA (253 nucleotides) under uncultured bacterium. RNAcentral's name for it is "partial 16S ribosomal RNA". It matches the Rfam family "Bacterial small subunit ribosomal RNA", at positions 524 to 776 of the family's 1533-position model. The record is from RNAcentral.
UACGUAGGGUGCAAGCGUUAAUCGGAAUUACUGGGCGUAAAGCGCGUGUAGGCGGCUAUGUAAGUCGGGCGUGAAAUCCCACGGCUCAACCGUGGAAGUGCACCCGAAACUGCGUAGCUAGAGUCCUGGAGAGGAAGGUGGAAUGCUUGGUGUAGAGGUGAAAUUCGUAGAUAUCAAGCGGAACACCGGUGGCGAAGGCGGCCUUCUGGACAGUGACUGACGCUGAGACGCGAAAGCGUGGGGAGCAAACAGG